UAAAAAUUAAAUUACUAAAAAGGUUUUUUUGUCUUUUAGAGAAUUUUCUUUGGCUUUAGUAUUUUAUUGAAAGAGUUAUUUUUGUAAUAGUUUAUUAGUACUGUAAAGUAAUGUUGAAAUAUUUUGAAAAAUUAUUUUAUUAUAAGCAUACUGUUUGUAGUACCUUUUGUAUCAGGGAUGAUUAAUUUUAUUUAAUUUAAACUGUCUCAUAAGUCUCAUUAAUAACCUUCUGUAAAGAAAUUUUAUCCGUUUAUAAAGGUAUCUAGUUUUUUGAGAUAUAAAUUUAAUUUAAAAUCAAUUAUUUAUUUACUUUACUUUUAAAGUGACUAUUUAUUGGUUUAAAAAUCAUAGGGGAUAAGCUCUAUUUUUAUCUAAAAAUGUCUAAUAUUUCAAAAUUAGUAGGGUUAAAAUCAUCCAUCUUUUUAUUACGUUAUAGCUUAUUUUGUUAAAUUUUUGAUUUGGUUUAUUUUAGUGUUCUAUCAAAAUAUUAUAAUUAAUUUACGAUUAUAAGUAAUCAUGAUUAAAUUAGUAUAAUUAUUAUUGGUUAAAUAUGUUACUUUUAGUUUAAUUUUAUUUUAAGGAAUUCGGCAAAAUUAGUGUUCGCCUGUUUAUCAAAAACAUGUCUUCUUGUAAGAAUAGGAAGUCUGGCCUGCCCAGUGAAGUAUGUUUAACGGCCGCGGUACAUUGACCGUGCKAAGGUAGCAUAAUCAUUAGUCUUUUAAUAGGGGACUGGAAUGAAGGGUUCAACGAAAUACUAACUGUCUCAAACUAAUAUAUUUUAAUUUGAUUUUUGAGUUAAAAAGCUUAAAUUUUAUUGAAGGACGAGAAGACCCUAUAGAGCUUUAUAGUUAAUGUUAAUGAUCAUUUUAUUUUAUUUUUAUUUAAUUAAUAUUAGCUUUUUUGUUGGGGUGACAACAAAUAUAUAAACAACUUUUUUAUUUACACUACAUUUAUUUAUGGUUAUUAGAUCCAUUAUUAUUGAUUAUUAGAAUGAGUUACCUUAGGGAUAACAGCGUAAUCUUCCUUCAGAGUUCAUAUUUACAGGGAGGGUUGCGACCUCGAUGUUGGAUUAAGAUUAUAAUUAGGUGUAGCAGCUUAAUAUAUAGGUCUGUUCGACCUUUAAAUUACG
RNAcentral lists this ribosomal RNA (1129 nucleotides) under Hetaerina caja dominula. RNAcentral's name for it is "partial 16S ribosomal RNA". Lineage: Eukaryota; Metazoa; Arthropoda; Insecta; Odonata; Calopterygidae. The record is from RNAcentral.